Molecule: long non-coding RNA, 956 nt
Organism: Paramisgurnus dabryanus
Lineage: Eukaryota; Metazoa; Chordata; Actinopteri; Cypriniformes; Cobitidae
Source: RefSeq, a predicted model, not a curated record
AUUCAGACGAGAUGCUGUUUUUAGGGCAGUUUAUUAAAGAAGACCUGACAUGGAUGACUUCCAAUGAGAAACGACUGCUAAUACUUAGCAAUAAUUCAUUACAGAAGGACCCUACCAGACUAUAUUUGAAUACGGCAUACCCAUGAAUUCUGGAACUGUUAUUCCUUAACCCAGUUUGGAGGAUAAGAGCUUACCAACUAGUUAUAAAUAUGCUGAGGUGAUGUAUUGCAAAAUAGCCAACAUACAACAAUAUGGAUGACCCUCUGUCUGGUCAACAGGAGUUUAAAUAUGGACAGGACAGUGAUGUGGCAGCUCUUCCCUGGCUCAUUCACCUCUUGCCUUUCAUUUGUGAAAGGAAGAAAGAAGAAAGAGGGUCAAUGUGCAACUGAAGCUACUGAUUGUGCUAUGUGAUGAGCAUCAAUCCAUGCUUUGAGGGGGAUGAAUCAGCACAGCCCUGCCUGCACUGCGUUGGGAACAGAAGUUGCAUCCAGAAUUUUUGCAUCAUUCUGGACCAAAAAGCCAUUCCCUCCAUGAUGAAGACCACUGAUGCAGCCUUCCACUACAUCAUGAGUAAAACAACUACAGAACUAAAUACCAGGUUGGAACGUAUUUAAGAAAAAUGAAACCUCUUUUGAACUGAAAUGUCUGUUUUGUUAUGGAAAAAUCUUUAGUAUUGUGAAGGAUAAGCAUUUCUGCCUGCCAGUAAGGUAAUUGCAGUGUAUUUUAAUGUUCAAGUUUUGAGUAGGGUGGCUAAUUUUUUUUAAACUCUCAUUUGAUAUAUUAAAGACCUUAUAAUAAGUGGUUUUCAUGUCACUGCGCUGUGGUAUAAGAUAACUUUCAUUAUUCCAUACUGUAUUCUGUUUUCUAAUUGUAGCUGAGGUAUUUAAAUAAGCAGUGUUAAAUGCAAAGUGUUGUGUGUAUCAAUUUAAAUAUUAAAUGUGAUGUACUUUAAUAAA